GGAGGCUGGCGGCUGGCGGCGCUGCCCGCCUCUGACGGGGGCCCGCGGCCGAGAAGUGAAGGGUGUAUUGCAUGCGAAGCACCGCCUGUGUGGGCAGAUGAGACCUCCUGUGUGUGGGGACCCCAGCACAGCCCUUGCCUGUGUCUGCAGUGUGACCUCAGGUAUGUGCAUUUGACUGGGCAUGUUACCGCUGGUGCAUGUCAGAGAAGAGUGUAUUGCAUGUGUGACACCAUUUGUGUUUUUU
RNAcentral lists this long non-coding RNA (244 nucleotides) under Lynx canadensis (Canada lynx). RNAcentral's name for it is "lncRNA (ENSLCNG00005013608.1)". Lineage: Eukaryota; Metazoa; Chordata; Mammalia; Carnivora; Felidae. The record is from RNAcentral.